This 253-nucleotide ribosomal RNA is filed under the name uncultured bacterium. Its description in RNAcentral is "partial 16S ribosomal RNA". It matches the Rfam family "Bacterial small subunit ribosomal RNA", at positions 524 to 776 of the family's 1533-position model. The record is from RNAcentral.
UACGGAGGGUGCAAACGUUGCUCGGAAUUAUUGGGCGUAAAGCGCACGUAGGCGGACUCGCAAGUCGGGUGUGAAAGCCCUCGGCUCAACCGAGGAAGUGCAAACGAAACUACGAGACUUGAAUCCUGGAGAGGGUCGCGGAAUUCCCGGUGUAGAGGUGAAAUUCGUAGAUAUCGGGAGGAACACCAGCGGCGAAGGCGGCGACCUGGACAGAGAUUGACGCUGAGGUGCGAAAGCGUGGGGAGCAAACAGG